RNAcentral lists this non-coding RNA (79 nucleotides) under Microcystis aeruginosa PCC 7941. Lineage: Bacteria; Bacillati; Cyanobacteriota; Cyanophyceae; Chroococcales; Microcystaceae. The record is from RNAcentral. RNAcentral also lists the same sequence under 1 other name.
AGGAGCCGUGUGAGGUGAAAGUCUCAUGCACGGUUCUGAAGGGUCGGGGAUGGAGGCGACUCCAUUCCCGAUCCCUAAC